Long non-coding RNA from Syngnathus typhle (broad-nosed pipefish), 540 nucleotides. RefSeq lists it as uncharacterized. The transcript is spliced from 4 exons. NCBI's taxonomy places the organism in Eukaryota, Metazoa, Chordata, Actinopteri, Syngnathiformes, Syngnathidae. The record is from RefSeq and is a predicted model, not a curated record.
UUGCAGUUUUUAUCAGCUUCUUUUUGUCUUGAGGAAGAGAAGUGUUUAUUAUCAUGAGUUCUUAGCUUUGUUGUGUUUGUAUGUCUUAAAUAUAGAUCCAAAUCAUCACUAAUUGCAGUUUUCCCUAAAGACAUGCUCCGCUGUGCUGAACUUGUUUUGUCAGCCCUCUGCACUGCAAUGUGCUUGUUGGCCAUAACAACUGCUGCAGCAGGAUCCUGAUAUGGAGAUGGGGGGCGGGCAGCACACAAACGGAAAGAGCAUGAGAAUCUGGCGAAGAGCACUUGGAUCCACGUGAACACACGGUGGCCAGUGAAACAUAAGCAAAAGCUGCAUGUUCAUUCAGAAGAGCCUGCUCGUGACACUAUUCCCAUUUUACCGACUUCCUGAAAUAGCAUUCCAGACACUGGCAAUCAUCCGCUGCCGUAUUUCGAUUGAGCCUCUGCGCAGUCGGCCAUACCAGCAAACAUUUGAAAUCUCGAACCUUGUCAAUCAAGUGGAAGUAAAAUGCCCUGCCUGGAAGAACAAUUACUUUAUUUUGUU